AGUGAACGCUGGCGGUAGGCCUAACACAUGCAAGUCGAACGGCAGCACAGUAAGAGCUUGCUCUUACGGGUGGGGAGUGGCGGACGGGUGAGGAAUACAUCGGAAUCUACUUUUUCGUGGGGGAUAACGUAGGGAAACUUACGCUAAUACCGCAUACGACCUACGGGUGAAAGCAGGGGAUCUUCGGACCUUGCGCGAUUGAAAGAGCCGAUGUCGGAUUAGCUAGUUGGCGGGGUAAAGGCCCACCAAGGCGACGAUCCGUAGCUGGUCUGAGAGGAUGAUCAGCCACACUGGAACUGAGACACGGUCCAGACUCCUACGGGAGGCAGCAGUGGGGAAUAUUGGACAAUGGGCGCAAGCCUGAUCCAGCCAUACCGCGUGGGUGAAGAAGGCCUUCGGGUUGUAAAGCCCUUUUGUUGGGAAAGAAAAGCAGCAGGUUAAUACCCCGCUGUUCUGACGGUACCCAAAGAAUAAGCACCGGCUAACUUCGUG
This 492-nucleotide ribosomal RNA is filed under the name uncultured bacterium. RNAcentral describes it as "partial 16S ribosomal RNA". It matches the Rfam family "Bacterial small subunit ribosomal RNA", at positions 29 to 507 of the family's 1533-position model. The record is from RNAcentral.